RNAcentral lists this long non-coding RNA (390 nucleotides) under Malus domestica (apple). RNAcentral's name for it is "long non-coding RNA (MDOM_LNC018386)". Lineage: Eukaryota; Viridiplantae; Streptophyta; Magnoliopsida; Rosales; Rosaceae. The record is from RNAcentral.
CCAAUAGUUGUAAUAGGACCAAAAUUGUUUUAAUAGAGAUUAAAAUGUAUGUUUAUAUGUGAUGAGACCAAAAACCCUCAACCAAACCAAUAUUAAGUUGAUAAGCGGAGAGUGCUUAGAACACUCUUUCGUGGCCUUCCACCAUGGUGGGAUCCAAUCGUUUAUGACUUGUACACCGGCUUCACCCUAUCAUGGGGGAGUACAAAGUGCAUGCUUAUACUCAGGAGGAAUCCAUACACAUAUGAUGAGGUGAGUGUAGGCAACGAGGAUGGCCAAUAUCAUAUCAUUGUGAGGCUAUUCUUGAACCCCUUCAUGAACUAAGCAUGGUGGGAAGAACUUAACUAAGUGCAAUGGAACCAAUAUCAUAUCAUUGUGAGGUUACAUUCUCUA